GUUUCUUUGGGGAGUGUUUGCUAUAUAAUUGGAUUUAUACAAUGUUUAGAGGUGCAGUAGGCAUGACUUUGAGUAGAUAA
Molecule: microRNA precursor, 80 nt
Organism: Equus asinus (donkey)
Lineage: Eukaryota; Metazoa; Chordata; Mammalia; Perissodactyla; Equidae
Source: Ensembl